GAGGGGCAGUGUCCCUACCCAGGCUUGGAGGAGGAGCCUCAAGGGGUGUGUGUGGUUGGGGGAGACAGGCGGUGUCACCUGUGCUUAGACCAGGGGCGGUGGGCGGGUACCCUUGAGGUGGCAAGGUCACACUGCUCAUCAGAAGUUUCUCACUAGGGUCUUCUCUGGCCCAGCCUUUGACUGAAGCUGGUCUGGAGACAGGGGCGUUAGAGAAGUGACUCAUAGAUGGCCUAAAUAAGCGGGGCCACUCAAGGACCCAGGACAGGGGGAAGAGGGCCAACCCAUCUGGACCGCAGGCAAACCCCAUGGCCUUUGAGAGAAGAGAGAAGAGGACCCGGUGAAGUAGGCUCCGAGGGCCUCAGCCCAGCAGGAGCGCAGGGAGCUGCACCAGGAACUCACAGAGGAUCAGGGAGAAUUCUGAGAACAUGCUACUGUGGUGCUGCCUAGAGAGGAAGGAUAAAUGAUGACAAGUACAUCUCUGAGUAACGUAUGGGCACUUGUUCAUGAAAACUGUUUUUCUGAAAGCUUGUGAAGGUCUUGAAAUACUCGCUAUCAGUUGAGGACAAACAUUUACACCCUCCUUCCACAGGGAGUUCAAGCAGGCUGGAUGGGUCCAUCUAUGGAUGAUCUUCCCCAGCCCCUUCCUCUUCCCAGCUCAUCCCUGGCUCUCUGUGUGAACAGGUCUCAUCAGUGGAAUGUGGUUGAUGAAGUGAGGUCUUCAAUUUUCUCAUCUACUGUGUGGUCAUGUUAUUUUCCUCAUCUGAGGCUUAAAAACUCACCUGCAUGCAGCACAUGACAGCUUAAAAUCUCUUGUGAACAAAACAGUAACAAAGACACCCACCAGCGUUGAGCAUCCCGUGUUGAUGACAGCGACCACCAGGGGUCAACGUCCUCUUCACAAUCCUGUGUCAGAGCAUCACUUGACUGAUUUCAUUAGCAACUUCCCAGGAGAAUCAGCUUACAAAAUACUUGUCCCAUUUUCCAUGCAGAUGUAACCCAUCUAUUUUACUGAAGAAAUGGGAAGAGCUGAAUGCUGAAUACACUGAAUGUCUGCAGGUUGUGCAAGUUUGUGACUUUAUCACUUUCUAAUUUCUGAUCUGUGUGGACCACUCUACAGAUUUUUCUCACUGGUGUGAUCAGCCUUCUGGAUGUCAAAUAUAAUAGACUUUCAAUAAUAUAAAAGUCAACACAAGCUCCUCAUGGUUUCAGUGCUCAGUGAUGACUCUAAACUUACACAAUGUGUUUCUUUAUUAGUUUUGUUUUCUGGUAUCUCUACUCGGCAUCUUCACCACACCCAUUUUAUGUUUCUUAUACAGGCUUUCUUCUAUGAAAUGCUAUGUCAUGAAUAUGCAAAUAACCUGAGAUCCACUGAGGUAAAUUUGGAUGUCUGUGCCCUGAGAGCAUCACCCAACAACCACAUCCCUCCUCUAUAGAAGCCCCUGAGAACACAGCUCCUCACCAUGGACUGUACCUGGGGGAUCCACUUCUUGGUGGCAGCUGCCACAGGUGUCCAUUCCCAGGUUCAGCUGUUGCAGCCUGGGGCUGAGGUGAAGAAGCCUGGGUCCUCAGUGAAGGUCUCCUGCCAGGCUUCCAGAUACACCUUCACCAAAUACUUUACACGGUGGGUGUGACAAAGCCCUGGACAAGGGCAUAGUGGAUGGGAUGAAUCAACCCUUACAAUGAUAACACACACUAUGCACAGACGUUCUGGGGCAGAGUCACCAUUACCAGUGACAGGUCCAUGAGCACAGCCUACAUGGAGCUGAGCAACCUGAGAUCUGAAGACAUGGUCAUGUAUUACUGUGUGAGAGACACAGUGCAAAAACCCACAUCCUGAGAGUGUCAGAAACCCCAGGAAGGAGACACCUGUGCUGACACAGAGGAGAUGACAAAGAUUAUUAGAUUAAAGAUUUGCUUAGAAAAUGACAUUAAGUCAUUAAAGAAAAGGAACAAUAUUAAUGUGUAUUUGAGAAAUUUUAAUUAUUUGAGAGAUUUUUCAUACAACAUUUAUUCUGUAAACAAAUUUCAAUGAUUAGAGAAUUAAUCAAAUUAAUGAAACUAAUAUAGAACUUCCUCUGAAGGUAUCUCUGUAAACAUUAAUUUCUUAAUCAGUGCUGUAAGUAUUUUGGAAUACAGACACAAAAUCACAUUUUAAGUCUGCAUUUAUAUCUAUUAAAAAUGCCAAAAAAAUCUCCUUUUGUGCGUGUAGCAUUUUGAAUUCCCACCAUCAAUGCAUGAUAGUUCUUGGUUUUCCACAUUCAUAUUGCCAUGUAUCCUUAUGAGAGUUGUGUGUUUUAACCAAUCUAGUAGGUGAGUAAUGGGAUCUAAUUUUUAUUUAAAUGCACAUGUCCCUCAAAAAGUUCAUAUUUAACAAUUUUCCAAUAACUUUUGUUGAGAUGCCU
This 2402-nucleotide long non-coding RNA is filed under the name Homo sapiens (human). Its description in RNAcentral is "HSALNT0385466". Lineage: Eukaryota; Metazoa; Chordata; Mammalia; Primates; Hominidae. The record is from RNAcentral.